GAUGAACGCUGGCGGCGUGCCUAAUACAUGCAAGUCGAGCGAACAGACGAGGAGCUUGCUCCUCUGACGUUAGCGGCGGACGGGUGAGUAACACGUGGAUAACCUACCUAUAAGACUGGGAUAACUUCGGGAAACCGGAGCUAAUACCGGAUAAUAUAUUGAACCGCAUGGUUCAAUAGUGAAAGACGGUUUUGCUGUCACUUAUAGAUGGAUCCGCGCCGCAUUAGCUAGUUGGUAAGGUAACGGCUUACCAAGGCAACGAUGCGUAGCCGACCUGAGAGGGUGAUCGGACACACUGGAACUGAGACACGGUCCAGACUCCUAAGGGAGGCAGCAGUAGGGAAUCUUCCGCAAUGGGCGAAAGCCUGACGGAGCAACGCCGCGUGAGUGAUGAAGGUCUUCGGAUCGUAAAACUCUGUUAUUAGGGAAGAACAAAUGUGUAAGUAACUAUGCACGUCUUGACGGUACCUAAUCAGAAAGCCACGGCUAACUACGUG
RNAcentral lists this ribosomal RNA (497 nucleotides) under uncultured bacterium. RNAcentral's name for it is "partial 16S ribosomal RNA". It matches the Rfam family "Bacterial small subunit ribosomal RNA", at positions 28 to 507 of the family's 1533-position model. The record is from RNAcentral.